Molecule: ribosomal RNA, 478 nt
Filed under: uncultured bacterium
Lineage: Bacteria
Description: partial 16S ribosomal RNA
Rfam family: Bacterial small subunit ribosomal RNA
Source: RNAcentral
GACGAACGCUGGCGGCAUGCCUAACACAUGCAAGUCGAGCGAGUUGAUCCCUUCGGGGUGAAGCUAGCGGCGGACGGGUGAGUAACACGUGGGCAACCUGCCUCAUAGAGGGGAAUAGCCUUCCGAAAGGAAGAUUAAUACCGCAUAAGAUUGUAGCUUCGCAUGAAGCAGCAAUUAAAGGAGCAAUCCGCUAUGAGACGGGCCCGCGGCGCAUUAGCUAGUUGGUGAGGUAACGGCUCACAAAGGCGACGAUGCGUAGCCGACCUGAGAGGGUGAUCGGCCACAUUGGGACUGAGACACGGCCCAGACUCCUACGGGUGGCAGCAGUGGGGAAUAUUGCACAAUGGGGGAAACCCUGAUGCAGCAAUGCCGCGUGAGUGAUGACGGCCUUCGGGUUGUAAAGCUCUGUCUUCGGGGACGAUAAUGACGGUACCCGAGGAGGAAGCCACGGCUAACUACGUGCCAGCCGCCGCGGUAA